RNAcentral lists this ribosomal RNA (301 nucleotides) under uncultured bacterium. RNAcentral's name for it is "partial 16S ribosomal RNA". It matches the Rfam family "Bacterial small subunit ribosomal RNA", at positions 509 to 809 of the family's 1533-position model. The record is from RNAcentral.
CAGUAGCCGCGGUAAUACGUAGGUGGCAAGCGUCGUCCGGAAUUAUCGGGCGUAAAGCGCGCGCAGGCGGAUAGGUCAGUCUGUCUUAAAAGCUCGGGGCUUAACCCCGUGAUGGGAUGGAAACUGCCAAUCUAGAGUAUCGGAGAGGAAAGUGGAAUUCCUAGUGUAGCGGUGAAAUGCGUAGAUAUUAGGAAGAACACCAGUGGCGAAGGCGGCUUUCCGGACUGCAACUGACGCUGAGGCUCGAAAGCCAGGGGAGCGAACGGGAUUAGAUACCCCAGUAGUCCCUGUCUCUUAUACA